Molecule: ribosomal RNA, 2902 nt
Filed under: Klebsiella quasipneumoniae
Lineage: Bacteria; Pseudomonadati; Pseudomonadota; Gammaproteobacteria; Enterobacterales; Enterobacteriaceae
Description: 23S ribosomal RNA
Rfam family: Bacterial large subunit ribosomal RNA
Source: RNAcentral
GGUUAAGCGACUAAGCGUACACGGUGGAUGCCCUGGCAGUCAGAGGCGAUGAAGGACGUGCUAAUCUGCGAAAAGCGUCGGUAAGGUGAUAUGAACCGUUAUAGCCGGCGAUGUCCGAAUGGGGAAACCCAGUGCAAUUCGUUGCACUAUCGUUAACUGAAUACAUAGGUUAACGAGGCGAACCGGGGGAACUGAAACAUCUAAGUACCCCGAGGAAAAGAAAUCAACCGAGAUUCCCCCAGUAGCGGCGAGCGAACGGGGAGCAGCCCAGAGUCUGAAUCAGCUUGUGUGUUAGUGGAACGGUCUGGAAAGUCCGACGGUACAGGGUGAUAGUCCCGUACACCAAAAUGCACAGGCUGUGAACUCGAAGAGUAGGGCGGGACACGUGGUAUCCUGUCUGAAUAUGGGGGGACCAUCCUCCAAGGCUAAAUACUCCUGACUGACCGAUAGUGAACCAGUACCGUGAGGGAAAGGCGAAAAGAACCCCGGCGAGGGGAGUGAAAAAGAACCUGAAACCGUGUACGUACAAGCAGUGGGAGCACCUUCGGGUGUGACUGCGUACCUUUUGUAUAAUGGGUCAGCGACUUAUAUUCUGUAGCAAGGUUAACCGUAUAGGGGAGCCGCAGGGAAACCGAGUCUUAACUGGGCGUUAAGUUGCAGGGUAUAGACCCGAAACCCGGUGAUCUAGCCAUGGGCAGGUUGAAGGUUGGGUAACACUAACUGGAGGACCGAACCGACUAAUGUUGAAAAAUUAGCGGAUGACUUGUGGCUGGGGGUGAAAGGCCAAUCAAACCGGGAGAUAGCUGGUUCUCCCCGAAAGCUAUUUAGGUAGCGCCUCGUGAACUCAUCUUCGGGGGUAGAGCACUGUUUCGGCUAGGGGGUCAUCCCGACUUACCAACCCGAUGCAAACUACGAAUACCGAAGAAUGUUAUCACGGGAGACACACGGCGGGUGCUAACGUCCGUCGUGAAGAGGGAAACAACCCAGACCGCCAGCUAAGGUCCCAAAGUCAUGGUUAAGUGGGAAACGAUGUGGGAAGGCACAGACAGCCAGGAUGUUGGCUUAGAAGCAGCCAUCAUUUAAAGAAAGCGUAAUAGCUCACUGGUCGAGUCGGCCUGCGCGGAAGAUGUAACGGGGCUAAACCAUGCACCGAAGCUGCGGCAGCGACACUAUGUGUUGUUGGGUAGGGGAGCGUUCUGUAAGCCUGCGAAGGUGACCUGUGAGGGUUGCUGGAGGUAUCAGAAGUGCGAAUGCUGACAUAAGUAACGAUAAAGCGGGUGAAAAGCCCGCUCGCCGGAAGACCAAGGGUUCCUGUCCAACGUUAAUCGGGGCAGGGUGAGUCGACCCCUAAGGCGAGGCCGAAAGGCGUAGUCGAUGGGAAACAGGUUAAUAUUCCUGUACUUGGUGUUACUGCGAAGGGGGGACGGAGAAGGCUAUGUUAGCCGGGCGACGGUUGUCCCGGUUUAAGCAUGUAGGCUGGUUAUCCAGGCAAAUCCGGAUAAUCAAGGCUGAGGUGUGAUGACGAGGCACUACGGUGCUGAAGUAACAAAUGCCCUGCUUCCAGGAAAAGCCUCUAAGCAUCAGGUAACACGAAAUCGUACCCCAAACCGACACAGGUGGUCAGGUAGAGAAUACCAAGGCGCUUGAGAGAACUCGGGUGAAGGAACUAGGCAAAAUGGUGCCGUAACUUCGGGAGAAGGCACGCUGGUGUGUAGGUGAAGUCCCUGCGGAUGGAGCUGAGACCAGUCGAAGAUACCAGCUGGCUGCAACUGUUUAUUAAAAACACAGCACUGUGCAAACACGAAAGUGGACGUAUACGGUGUGACGCCUGCCCGGUGCCGGAAGGUUAAUUGAUGGGGUUAUCCGUAAGGAGAAGCUCUUGAUCGAAGCCCCGGUAAACGGCGGCCGUAACUAUAACGGUCCUAAGGUAGCGAAAUUCCUUGUCGGGUAAGUUCCGACCUGCACGAAUGGCGUAAUGAUGGCCAGGCUGUCUCCACCCGAGACUCAGUGAAAUUGAACUCGCUGUGAAGAUGCAGUGUACCCGCGGCAAGACGGAAAGACCCCGUGAACCUUUACUAUAGCUUGACACUGAACAUUGAGCCUUGAUGUGUAGGAUAGGUGGGAGGCUUUGAAGCGUGGACGCCAGUCUGCGUGGAGCCAACCUUGAAAUACCACCCUUUAAUGUUUGAUGUUCUAACGUUGGCCCCUUAUCGGGGUUGCGGACAGUGUCUGGUGGGUAGUUUGACUGGGGCGGUCUCCUCCCAAAGCGUAACGGAGGAGCACGAAGGUUAGCUAAUCCUGGUCGGACAUCAGGAGGUUAGUGCAAUGGCAUAAGCUAGCUUGACUGCGAGCGUGACGGCGCGAGCAGGUGCGAAAGCAGGUCAUAGUGAUCCGGUGGUUCUGAAUGGAAGGGCCAUCGCUCAACGGAUAAAAGGUACUCCGGGGAUAACAGGCUGAUACCGCCCAAGAGUUCAUAUCGACGGCGGUGUUUGGCACCUCGAUGUCGGCUCAUCACAUCCUGGGGCUGAAGUAGGUCCCAAGGGUAUGGCUGUUCGCCAUUUAAAGUGGUACGCGAGCUGGGUUUAGAACGUCGUGAGACAGUUCGGUCCCUAUCUGCCGUGGGCGCUGGAGAAUUGAGGGGGGCUGCUCCUAGUACGAGAGGACCGGAGUGGACGCAUCACUGGUGUUCGGGUUGUCAUGCCAAUGGCACUGCCCGGUAGCUAAAUGCGGAAGAGAUAAGUGCUGAAAGCAUCUAAGCACGAAACUUGCCCCGAGAUGAGUUCUCCCUGAGACUUUAAGUCUCCUGAAGGAACGUUGAAGACGACGACGUUGAUAGGCCGGGUGUGUAAGCGCAGCGAUGCGUUGAGCUAACCGGUACUAAUGAACCGUGAGGCUUAACCUU